Molecule: ribosomal RNA, 271 nt
Filed under: Ornithodoros zumpti
Lineage: Eukaryota; Metazoa; Arthropoda; Arachnida; Ixodida; Argasidae
Description: partial large subunit ribosomal RNA
Rfam family: Bacterial large subunit ribosomal RNA (bases 145-271)
Source: RNAcentral
UUUUUUGAAAUUUUUUUUAAGAAGUCCUUAAGAAAUUUAGUUAAAGGGCAUUUCUGUUGAUUGGGGUGAUUCUUAAAGCUUGCGGAUCUUUAGGUGUAAUAAUAAGAUCCAUUAUUAGUGAUUAAAUGAGAUAAAUACUCUAGGGGUAACAGCGUUAUUAUUUUGGAUAGUUCAUAUAGAUGAAAUAGUUUGCGACCUCGAUGUUGGAUUAAGAUUCUUUUGUAAUGCAGGAGUUACAAGAAGAAGUUUGCUCAACUUUUGAAAUCUUACA